This 361-nucleotide long non-coding RNA is filed under the name Homo sapiens (human). RNAcentral describes it as "long non-coding RNA NONHSAT162551.1". Lineage: Eukaryota; Metazoa; Chordata; Mammalia; Primates; Hominidae. The record is from RNAcentral.
AAGUGGAUUUUCAAGUUGAGACUUGAAAGACUCUGCAGGAUCAAAGAUAAUACAAGGUUGAAUGGCAAGAGGUUAUGGCAGAAUAAAGAGACUUAAGAGAGAAUGGAGGGAAAAUUGAUAAAGCAAAAGGAAUCAAGCUGAAAAUUCACAAAGAUAGAAGAAGAAUGAAGUUCAAAAUACAAAUGCCUGGGUUGGCUUUGGACAAAAGAAGCACUACUUCAUUUGAAGUUGGGCAGCAACAGGAAUAGAAUAUUCCAGACAGGAGCUGUUCCUUUAACCUGGAUCACAGAAUGGAAUUUCAAGUGAAGCAGACCUUUAGUCAACCCAUAGACCUACAGCGGAGCCACAGACAAAUCUCAGG